RNAcentral lists this long non-coding RNA (323 nucleotides) under Chlamydomonas reinhardtii. Its description in RNAcentral is "long non-coding RNA (CREI_LNC000025)". Lineage: Eukaryota; Viridiplantae; Chlorophyta; Chlorophyceae; Chlamydomonadales; Chlamydomonadaceae. The record is from RNAcentral.
CCACAGUGUUGCUGUCAAUAAGGCUGUUUGAGGUGUUCGCACUUGAGUGCUGCUUGAACUACGGGAGCUUGCUUGCGCAUUGUAGGUUGCGGCCGGCAGUGAGGCUGUGAGGGGGAGCGGCUGCUUGACGCACGUGGGACAUUCGGACCUGCGUGUAUAUGUCACACAUUCGGACCUGCGUGUAUAUGUCACACAUUGUUGCUGUAGCCAACGCCUCAUGGGCGUGUAGAAUUGCCGUGAUGGAAUACCGGACACUGGGGGUGGAGCAAGGCGGUAGUAGUUCACAGUCAGGCAGGGUGCGAUGGGACAGGUUAAGGGGCAGG